UCUUUGCGCUCCAUCAUCAUCGUCCUCGUCCACGCUCAGUGGACACACGAAAGAGGCGCCUCUGCCCUUCGAUGCUAUCUGGCAGUGCCUCCUCCUCCUCGCCCUCGCACAACGCCAUCACACACAGCCAACCAUGUCGCUCCCGAGCAUGUCCCUGCACUGGAGCGAGGGCGACAACGGCGGCGGUAGCUUAGGCGGCAGCCGCCGCUCCUUCUCGAAAGGCAGCAUCUACCGCCACCACUUCCUCAGCCUCGACCACAGCAGCGCCAGGGACGUUGCCGUCGGCCUCUCGCGGGACGUAACGAACGACCGGCGUGCAACCGGAACGAGCGCCGGCUUUGAGUGGCUGCAGCCCUGGCGCACACCACAAGACUGCCGCGAGGGCGGCGUGGCUCUCCUGUAUAGUAUGCAGGAGGUCUUGGAAAAUGUGCGGCGGGCGAGGAAGACGAGCUUGAGUGAGCUCUACGCCGCGCGCGGCGCCGGCAGCCCGGCGGCGUCGACGACGAGCUUGUGCCAUCCUCAGCACCUCUGUCCCCCGCGUGCAGCAACCAGUGGCAGCAGCGACGACGCCGAGGGUCGCUGCGGCAGCGUUGGUGAGAAGAGCUCCUGCAGCGCCGCCGGCAGUCGCACGAGUAGUGUCGACCGGCGCCGUCAGCGCGACCGCGGUGAGCGCAACGUGUCUGUCGGAAAGGGCGUGCGGAGCGCUAGCGAUGACAGCGUGCAGGGGAUCGAGCUUGCAACAGAGGUGGGGAGGGUGGCGUUUUCGCCUCCCCUUCAAACCGCCACGGCGGCGGCGGCUUCGGUGCCGCCGAUAGUGCCGGUCAUCCCGCGCUUUUCGGAAGUCAAGACGGAGCAGGAGCUGGUCCAUCAGCGUCAGCAACAGCAGCCGCAGCCGCACCCUCGCAGCGAGGCCGCGAAGCGUAGGCGAUGCGCCUUGGCUAACUCCGAUGAUGACGACGACGACGCUGCACGCAGUCCCCACCACCCGGACGCGAGCUGCCCGAGCGGCGGGUGCGACCAGACGGCGCGUCCUGGGGACUCGCGGCAUCGCCCGGGCAUGAGCGUCGAGUGGAGCGGCAGCGACAGCAACGGAGACGAGCCGGAGGCCCUGGCGCAGCGGCGCCAUGCUUCGGGUGUGUCGGCGGACGAUGAUGACGUGGACACAUCCAACGUGCAUCACGGCAAGGACGAGGAGCGAGACGAGGAGGAAGAUCGACUGAGCGAGACCGACUUCGGUGAAGGUGGCCACCUCGCCUGCGUGCCAGGUGACACGCUGCAUCAGCGCUACACCCUUCUCAAGGCGCUUGGUGUGGGUCGCAGCAGCCGCGUGUGGCUUGCCGUCGAUCUCGAACAGUGCUCCUUGGCGCGUUGCCAGCUCAUCCGCGAGCUCGGCGAACGCGAGGUGCGGCGUCUGUUCAGGACGUUGGAGCGGCCAAUGUUCGUCGCCAUCAAGGUGUUUCGCUGCGAUCCCGCGUACGCGGACUGCGCCACGUACGAGUUGAAACUCUCAGCGCUCAUCCAUGAGAACGUAAUGAGGCGGCGGCAGCAGCAGCAGCAACAGCAGCAACGGUGGCCUCCCGCACGCGCGUCGCAUUCUGCUUCGCUGCCGUCCUCGCCGAUCGCGGUGCCGGCGGCGUGCGAUGAUCCCGGUGGUGAUCUCCAGGAGAGCAGCGACGGAGGAGAGAACAGCACGUCACGGCCUUGUGACGAAGCUGCGGUCCGCACGCGCGCAGACCCGACCUCCUCCACACCGCGCAGCGGCCGCAUCAGCAACAGCGGCAGCGUCAGCGCUGAGGUGGCGUCGCCUGCGUCGACCAGCGCAACGGCCUUCAGCGGGCGCCUCACGACGGUCCGCGACGCCUUCGCCGUCGAGGGCGCCUUCGGGACGCACCAAUGCCUCGUCAUGGACGUGCUUGGGGCCGGCGUCGACCGCGCAAUCAACGAGGCGCACCUCAACGGCUUCCCUUCCGCUGUCGCACGCUCCAUCAUGCAGUCAAGCCUGCAGGGACUGGUGUUGCUCGCCGCCUGCCAUCUUGUUCACACGGACAUAAAACCAGAGAACCUGUUCUUCACAGACCUUGAGGACGACGUCGCGGAAGAGAUGCUCACUUUCCAGUCCGCGCAGCUGCAUGCGAGUCAGCGCCAAACCCUCUGCAGCAGUUUCGCGCACCGGAGUACGGCGGCAUCCGUGAUGACGGAGAGGGAAGAAGUGGCCGCGCACGAGCAGCAGCAGCAGCAGCACCAUGGCGAUGGCGGCACAGCGGAACAUACUGGAGUUGGUCAACGCAGCCCCUUCUCUGAUCCCUCACUGCCUGAUUACACACACGUCGACGAAGCGGCGGCUGACCUGCACACCGUCCACGCUGCCAACGCCGCCGAUGCGGGUGCGUCAGGCGAUCGCGUUGCCUCGUCAGUCACCACCCUCAGCGCCGUCGCCGGCGGCCAUGAUACGCUGCACAGCAGCCAAGACAGCAUCGCCCAGGUGUCGCGCCGGCCCAACUUCGCACGCACGCCGACCCGGCGCCGGUCAGCGUACGAUGUACGCCUCUCUGGCCUUGGGCUGUCGCUUGUCGUUCCACCGUGCUUGCGGCUCGGGGUGCGCGUGCUAGCCAACUACGCUGCCGACGGUGGCGGCAUGACGGCCGACGAGCUCGUGCGCCAGGAUCCACUGGAGCAACUGCACUGGCUGUGCGCGCAGCAGCAGGCGCGCCUCUUGCGCCUUCCAGGCGACGACGACGACGACGGCUUGGGUAGCGUUGCGGAGCCGUGGAGGGAGGAGCGGUGGAGACUUGCUGGAACAUGUGCGCCAGCAGAGUCGCCACCACCGCCGACGCUGGAUAUCGGCAUGAGCGAGGACUUCAUCGACGAGGCAGAGCUACGCGCGCUGGGGCUGCAGGAGCUGCCAAAGAGCGACGCCGAUGGAGGCCGGUGUGCAGCGGGCAUGGCGCCUGACGAAUACGAAGAGGCGGACGUGACGGACUUCGUCGGCGUGCCAGCCGUGGACAAACCAGCAGCACAUCAUCGGACCACCGUCACCACGGCGGACGUGGGGGUAGUGGGCGGGACGCUGCCGCCGGCCACAUGGCGAACGGCAAGUGCUGCCACCCGUGCAGGAGGUGGCCGAAGAACACCGUUGGCCGCGGCGAAGCGAAGGCUUUUCGCGCAGUGCUUCCAUGAAGGCUUGGCCACCCCGCGGGACCCAGCAACGGUGCUGACCCGCUGCGAAGGCGUCGCUGCCGCCUCCCCCACGGACAGCAGCAGCAGCAACAGCAGCAGUGGCGCCGCGCCACCAGCAGGUGCGGCGGCGGCGGCAACAGUGCUGCGACGCCUCGAGUGCGAGAUUGUUCGCCACCAGAACUACCGCCGUGGCGCCGUCCUGCAGAGUCGUGAGUACCGCGCGCCGGAGGUGCUGCUCGGCGACUUUGUCCUGCCCGCGUGCGAUAUUUGGUCGAUGGGCUGCAUCGCCUACGAGCUGGUGAGCGGGCGCUUCCUCAUCGACUGCAUCGUGGACCGGGAGCGCUUCGCGACGGCACUGUCGUGGCAACAGCAGCAGCGACACGGAAGGAAGGGGUGUCGCGCCCCCGACGACGACGGCGGCGGCGCCCAUGAUGCGAAGGACCACAGCCGCGACGACGACGAAGAUACGCAGCAGCGCCUUAACAAGUGGGACGGGCGGCCCGUCUACCUCGAGGACACGGAGCAGGACCUGGACGUCUUUCACCUAAAGGCAAUCAUGCGGCUUCUCGGGCCACCGCCGGUGAGCUUCUUGCGUCAGCAGCCGAUCGGGCUCUUCAUCGACGACUUCUUCGACGAGCACGGCAACUUCCGCUUCUGGGAACGCGGCGAGGCCGAGGAGGCCGGCAUGCGUUUGGCAGACCCGUACCGCCAGCUAGAGUUGACGCACUGGGCGGCGGCAAGUCGGGUGUCCGGGGCGAGCGUCGCUGUGGGUUCUGGCGCUGAUCGGCAGCAGAGCCCGCCUCUGCCCGAAAGCGUCAGCGGCGUGGCUGCGUCGCUGGACACCGACCCCCCCGGCGCACCCUUCGCUGCCUCGGUAGGGCAGCACGUCGCAUCGGCCCAGGCGCGGCGCGACCCACAGGAUACGAUGAACUACCCCAUCAGGACACCAGCCUGGCAAGAUGUGCAGGCGAUCCUGCGCGAGAAGCUCGGCUCCGCGGAGGAGGCGGCGGACUUCGAGGUGUUCCUCCGCCGCUGUCUCCAAUGGGAUCCGGCGCGGCGGGCCACGGCGGCCGAGCUUCUCGCCGACAAGUGGCUUGUCAAGUACAGCGGCGUCGUGGCGGACGCGAGUGAGAGCGACGUGGUGGCGGAGAAGGAGGGCGGUGGCGACUCCGACGGGGAAGAGCGGCGGCUGUAACGGUUGCACUCCGCCAACUCCCAGCAACAGAAACGAAAGGAUGACGUCGACCGCGUCUCCACGGAGGCGCCCCAACGCGCGUAGGCCAUGUUUUGGGGAGGGGGUGCUCACCACCCACACCCCCUCCCAUGACGGACCUCGCGCGCCUGCUUUCGCCGACCCUGGUGGCCCCCUCCUCCCGCCCAUCCGUGGCGCGCAUCGCCGGCUAUAUCACGGCCGCGCCACAGUGGCACGCGCCCCCAAG
Molecule: unclassified non-coding RNA, 4616 nt
Filed under: Leishmania donovani
Lineage: Eukaryota; Euglenozoa; Kinetoplastea; Trypanosomatida; Trypanosomatidae
Description: gene:LdHU3.01.0870(CDS-product:protein_kinase_put ative)
Source: RNAcentral